RNAcentral lists this long non-coding RNA (252 nucleotides) under Lathyrus oleraceus (garden pea). Its description in RNAcentral is "Pisum sativum (pea) long non-coding RNA (PSAT_LNC036531)". Lineage: Eukaryota; Viridiplantae; Streptophyta; Magnoliopsida; Fabales; Fabaceae. The record is from RNAcentral.
AAUUGAAUAUAAUUGAAAGAGAUACAACUUUGAAGAAGGAGCCAAAGUCAUUUGAAGCUCAUAGCAAAAGUUAUUCAAGGUGGAAAAAGGGGUCAUUUGACUUUUAACUUAGAAAAGUUUCAAGUAUGUUUGAUUCCUCUAACUUCAAUGCCAGAAUUCAUCAUGAUCCAAGCUUCAAAUGGAAAACGUCCCAACAUUGAAGUUGUUCCCUGUGAUGGUAGCUUUCCAGAGUCCAAUAUCAUUCAAUUUGGA